Molecule: small nucleolar RNA, 76 nt
Filed under: Rhinolophus ferrumequinum (greater horseshoe bat)
Lineage: Eukaryota; Metazoa; Chordata; Mammalia; Chiroptera; Rhinolophidae
Description: Small nucleolar RNA SNORD103/SNORD85 (ENSRFEG00010009181.1)
Rfam family: Small nucleolar RNA SNORD103/SNORD85
About the family: This family includes the snoRNAs SNORD103 (U103) and SNORD85 (HBII-251) . The members of this family belong to the C/D class of snoRNAs which contain the C (UGAUGA) and D (CUGA) box motifs.
Source: Rfam by way of RNAcentral
ACUGGCAAAGAUGACACACUUGCCCUCACUUAGAACACAGUUCGUUGAUGAGAGCACCUAAUUGUCCUGAGCCAGU